GAAUAAUAAAACAGAUAUACCAGUCCUAUGUUUAUGGACUGAAAAUACUGCUGCAGCUGAGCUGUGUCCAUAGGUUAACCUUUAAAGCAAGAUUAACCUUGUCCAGCAGAACGAGCAACACCAUUUGUACAUAGAAGAGAAGCUGAUAAGUAUGUCUUCCUCUGGCUGAAAGGAUCUUUUUUUCAUUAUUCAGGUCAUAAGAUAAACAAAUGAAUCUGGAAGGGUCUGGAAGUAAAUCUGGACUCCAAGCUUGUCGUAAUAGUUGGCUACAAUUCAGGGCAGGACACUCUCUCUGAGUAUGUGCACAGUAUGCAGCACAAAGAGGACCCAAUACUGCUUGGCCACUAGGAAAAGGCAACCAAAUAGUUGUUUGUGGUCCUCGGGUCCCACUGUUUCUGAGAAAUGAUAAGGCUCUGACAAAUCAGGUGUGGUGGGGAGAACAGUUAUUUCAAAAAACAUCUCCUAAAUAGUGCAAGAUUAACUGGUUUCAUAAGAACUGAAACUCAAGCAGUAUUUUUGAUAUUUGCAAGUGUUUCAAAGCUCAUCUUCCUGACCUGAAACAUUACAGUGCCAGAGAUGGGGUGGGAAGGGAAGAGGGAGUGAAAUUCUAGAUAUAAUCUUUACUUCUUCCUAGAAGCAACAAAAUUACCAGAAGUUGAAGCAGAGUAAUUAAUGUUU
Molecule: long non-coding RNA, 678 nt
Filed under: Anser brachyrhynchus (Pink-footed goose)
Lineage: Eukaryota; Metazoa; Chordata; Aves; Anseriformes; Anatidae
Description: lncRNA (ENSABRG00000010889.1)
Source: RNAcentral